ACCUUUUAAUGUACUACUUAUG
Molecule: microRNA, 22 nt
Filed under: Drosophila virilis
Lineage: Eukaryota; Metazoa; Arthropoda; Insecta; Diptera; Drosophilidae
Description: dvi-miR-968-3p
Gene: dvi-miR-968-3p
Source: miRBase by way of RNAcentral